AGGACUGUAGUUAAUUAUAACAUUUGAUUUGCAUUCAAAAGGUAUUGGACUCAAUCUGUCUUA
RNAcentral lists this transfer RNA (63 nucleotides) under Ephemera serica. Its description in RNAcentral is "tRNA-Ala". It matches the Rfam family "tRNA". Rfam says of the family: Transfer RNA (tRNA) molecules are approximately 80 nucleotides in length. Their secondary structure includes four short double-helical elements and three loops (D, anti-codon, and T loops). Further hydrogen bonds mediate the characteristic L-shaped molecular structure. tRNAs have two regions of fundamental functional importance: the anti-codon, which is responsible for specific mRNA codon recognition, and the 3' end, to which the tRNAs corresponding amino acid is attached (by aminoacyl-tRNA synthetases). tRNAs cope with the degeneracy of the genetic code in two manners: having more than one tRNA (with a specific anti-codon) for a particular amino acid; and 'wobble' base-pairing, i.e. permitting non-standard base-pairing at the 3rd anti-codon position. The record is from RNAcentral. Lineage: Eukaryota; Metazoa; Arthropoda; Insecta; Ephemeroptera; Ephemeridae.